CGAUUACAGCAUCGAUACACAAACAGCUGUGGCGAACGGAACUAAAUCCACAACAUAAACGACAAAGCCUGCAAUUAACGACAAAACGGAUCCCGGUUCCGGAUCCAGGCGAACCCGCCCUGCCUGAGACGGUCACCUCAACUCCGGCUCAUAUUGGCCACCGAAUGGACCCUUCUUCAACUUGAGUUGGCUAUUGUGCUUCUCCCUCUCCCUACAGCAGUAAUUACUCGGACAUUUUCAUCAUCAGGUAUGUUUUUUUGACAUUAAAAACAAACCGACAGACGAGGAUCGAAAAAUGAACACGUAGCUUGGAAAUAACGACAGCAUAUGAAUUUCAACAUGUUAUUGCAGCGAAGACACAGCAAAUAUAAUAAAUAUAAUAUCUAUAUAUAUAAAA
Drosophila innubila is the source of this 397-nucleotide long non-coding RNA. RefSeq lists it as uncharacterized. The record is from RefSeq and is a predicted model, not a curated record. NCBI's taxonomy places the organism in Eukaryota, Metazoa, Arthropoda, Insecta, Diptera, Drosophilidae. The transcript is spliced from 3 exons.